AUUGAACGCUGGCGGCAUGCCUUACACAUGCAAGUCGAACGGCGGCACGGGGGCAACCCUGGUGGCGAGUGGCGAACGGGUGAGUAAUGCAUCGGAACGUGCCCAGUAGUGGGGAUAACUAGUCGAAAGAUUAGCUAAUACCGCAUACGACCUAUGGGUGAAAGCGGGGGAUUCGCAAGAACCUCGCGCUAUCGGAGGCGCCGAUGUCUGAUUAGCUAGUUGGCGGGGAAAAGCCCACCAAGGCUUCGAUCAGUAGCUGGUCUGAGAGGACGACCAGCC
RNAcentral lists this ribosomal RNA (279 nucleotides) under uncultured bacterium. Its description in RNAcentral is "partial 16S ribosomal RNA". It matches the Rfam family "Bacterial small subunit ribosomal RNA", at positions 30 to 309 of the family's 1533-position model. The record is from RNAcentral.